UACGUAGGGUGCGAAGCGUUGUCCGGAAUUAUUGGGCGUAAAGAGCUCGUAGGCGGUUUGUCGCGUUGUCCGUGAAAUUCCCUGGCUUAACUGGGGGCGUGCGGGCGAUACGGGCAGACUGGAGUACUGCAGGGGAGACUGGAAUUCCUGGUGUAGCGGUGGAAUGCGCAGAUAUCAGGAGGAACACCGGUGGCGAAGGCGGGUCUCUGGGCAGUAACUGACGCUGAGGAGCGAAAGCGUGGGGAGCGAACAGG
Molecule: ribosomal RNA, 254 nt
Filed under: uncultured bacterium
Lineage: Bacteria
Description: partial 16S ribosomal RNA
Rfam family: Bacterial small subunit ribosomal RNA
Source: RNAcentral